GACAGAGGUCAAAGAAUCUGAGGUGAGGAGGGGGAGGGACCAAGGUAUGUGGGUAAGAAUGAUGAGGGGCGAGGGACAGUAUUGGAUACGGAGGUGGUUCAGGAUGUUGAGGGGCGAGGGACAGUAUUGGAUACGGAGGUGGAGAGAUGGUUCAGGAUGUUGAGGGGGGGGUGAGGGACAGUAUUGGAUACGGAGGUGGUUCAGGAUGUUGAGGGGGGUGAGGGACAGUAUUGGAUACGGAGGUGGUUCAGGAUGUUGAGGAGGGGUGAGGGACAGUAUUGGAUACAGAGGUGGUUCAGGAUGUUGAGGAGGGGUGAGGGACAGUAUUGGAUACAGAGGUGGUUCAGGAUGUUGAGGAGGGGUGAGGGACAGUAUUGGAUACGGAGGUGGUUCAGGAUGUUGAGGGGGGGUGAGGGACAGUAUUGGAUACAGAGGUGCUUCAGGAUGUUGAGGGGGGGUGAGGGACAGUAUUGGAUACAGAGGUGGUUCAGGAUGUUGAGGAGGGGUGAGGGACAGUAUUGGAUACGGAGGUGGUUCAGGAUGUUGAGGGGUGAGGGACAGUAUUGGUUACAGAGGUGGUUCAGGAUGUUGAGGGGGGGUGAGGGACAGUAUUGGAUACAGAGAUGGUUCAGGAUGUUGAGGGGGGGUGAGGGACAGUAUUGGAUACGGAGGUGGUUCAGGAUGUUGAGGGGGGGUGAGGGACAGUAUUGGAUACAGAGAUGGUUCAGGAUGUUGAGGGGGGGUGAGGGAAAGUAUUGGAUACAGAGGUGGUUCAGGAUGUUGAGGGGGGGUGAGGGACAGUAUUGGAUACAGAGGUGGUUCAGGAUGUUGAGGGGGGGUGAGGGACAGUAUUGGAUACAGAGGUGGUUCAGGAUGUUGAGGGGGGUGAGGGACAGUAUUGGAUACGGAGGUGGUUCAGGAUGUUGAGGGGGGGGUGAGGGACAGUAUUGGAUACAGAGGUGGUUCAGGAUGUUGAGGGGGGUGAGGGACAGUAUUGGAUACAGAGGUGGUUCAGGAUGUUGAGGAGGGGUGAGGGACAGUAUUGGAUACAGAGGUGGUUCAGGAUGUUGAGGAGGGGUGAGGGACAGUAUUGGAUACGGAGGUGCUUCAGGAUGUUGAGGGGGGGUGAGGGACAGUAUUGGAUACAGAGGUGGUGAGGUGCUUCAGGAUGUUGAGGGGGUGAGGGACAGUAUUGGAUACAGAGGUGGUUCAGGAUGUUGAGGGGGGGUGAGGGACAGUAUUGGAUACGGAGGGGGGGUGAGGGACAGUAUUGAUACGGAGGUGCUUCAGGAUGUUGAGGGGGGGUGAGGGACAGUAUUGGAUACGGAGGUGGUGAGGUGCUUCAGGAUGUUGAGGGGGGGUGAGGGACAGUAUUGGAUACGGAGGGGGGGUGAGGGUGAUGAGACCAAACACAGCAGAAUAGAAUGUAGCUGAAAUGAAAAGACAAUAGGGACCAAACACCAAAACAUGAAGUAUGACACGAUGACGAUGACGAUGAUGAUUAUGUUGAUGAAGAUGAAACCACCGACACUGUGAGAGAAAGACAUCAUGACAGAAGCAGCAGCCAGACAGACGACAUAAAGACACGGCGGCCAUUUUGUCAAAUGUGGAGCCACAUUGAUGAUUCACAAAAUGGCUGCUUUUCCCCCUGUGUGGAGAGAGUGGAAUGGAGAG
Molecule: RNA transcript, 1674 nt
Organism: Oncorhynchus keta (chum salmon)
Lineage: Eukaryota; Metazoa; Chordata; Actinopteri; Salmoniformes; Salmonidae
Exons: 6
Source: RefSeq, a predicted model, not a curated record